UAUAAUUUAAUGUAUGAAGCAUAAAAAUUUUUGAUAUUUUUAGUAAUAGUUUGAUUCUAUUAAUUAUAA
RNAcentral lists this transfer RNA (69 nucleotides) under Epicypta sp. WQY003. Its description in RNAcentral is "tRNA-Gln". The record is from RNAcentral. Lineage: Eukaryota; Metazoa; Arthropoda; Insecta; Diptera; Mycetophilidae.